This 334-nucleotide small RNA is filed under the name Oryza sativa Japonica Group (Japanese rice). Its description in RNAcentral is "misc RNA Os01g0647200". The record is from RNAcentral. Lineage: Eukaryota; Viridiplantae; Streptophyta; Magnoliopsida; Poales; Poaceae.
UUAAUAGAGUUGCCACUGCAUAUAUAUGCUACUUAUUUGGUCGCACGCAAGUAGGUACUCACUUAAUUAAGUAUCAGUUUAUGGUAAUUAGCUUCUACUAAUAUAUAUAUGUACCUCCCCGAGUAACCGUAGUCUAAGCUAUGAGGCAGUACAAAGUGUGUGGUUUUUGUACCGGGAAGCUAGAGGUCAUCGUGCCGAUAGGCAAACUGCGCUGCAAGCUAUAUAUAUGCACAUAAUACAGAAGCAGUUAGUCAAGUCGCUAGCAGGUAGCAGCCUAGCAGGGCGCAUGUACUGUGGUUGUUGAUCUCCGUUGCAAUAAAUUAAACUGAUAUCU